This 271-nucleotide long non-coding RNA is filed under the name Capsella rubella. RNAcentral's name for it is "long non-coding RNA (CRUB_LNC000780)". The record is from RNAcentral. Lineage: Eukaryota; Viridiplantae; Streptophyta; Magnoliopsida; Brassicales; Brassicaceae.
UUUGUUACUAUUUUUUUCUUUUUUUUUGGAAAUACUUCUAUUUAAGAUUUUAUAAAUAGGUCGCAUGAGUCUGCUACUAAUGGAUUCAGACUAGGCUACAUCCAAAAUCAUUGUAAAUAUGGUGUUUUUACUUCGUCUAGUAUUAUGAUUUUAGUUGUAGUUCUUUUUUAGACGAAGAAAUCGAACAAUUUCUAUUUAGUAUAUGCAUGUGUUUAAAGGGUUUUGUGCAAAGAAACACUUUAAGUCGCCAAUUUUUACAACUUUAUCUUUC